AUUGAACGCUGGCGGCAGGCCUAACACUUGCAAGUCGAGCGGAUGAAGGGAGCUUGCUCCUGGAUUCAGCGGCGGACGGGUGAGUAAUGCCUAGGAAUCUGCCUGGUAGUGGGGGAUAACGUCCGGAAACGGGCGCUAAUACCGCAUACGUCCUGAGGGAGAAAGUGGGGGAUCUUCGGACCUCACGCUAUCAGAUGAGCCUAGGUCGGAUUAGCUAGUUGGUGGGGUAAAGGCCUACCAAGGCGACGAUCCGUAACUGGUCUGAGAGGAUGAUCAGUCAAACUGGAACUGAGACACGGUCCAGACUCCUACGGGAGGCAGAAGUGGGGAAUAUUGGCCAAUGGGCGAAAGCCUGAUCAAUCCAUGCCGCGGGUGUGAAGAAGGUCUUCGGAUUGUAAAGCACUUUAAGUGGGGAGGAAGGGCAGUAGUUAAUACCUUGCUGUUUUGACGUUACCAACAGAAUAAGCACCGGCUAACUUCGUG
RNAcentral lists this ribosomal RNA (483 nucleotides) under uncultured bacterium. Its description in RNAcentral is "partial 16S ribosomal RNA". It matches the Rfam family "Bacterial small subunit ribosomal RNA", at positions 30 to 507 of the family's 1533-position model. The record is from RNAcentral.